Molecule: ribosomal RNA, 467 nt
Filed under: uncultured bacterium
Lineage: Bacteria
Description: bacterial SSU rRNA
Rfam family: Bacterial small subunit ribosomal RNA
Source: RNAcentral
UAGGGAAUAUUGGGCAAUGGAGGGAACUCUGACCCAGCCAUGCCGCGUGCAGGAUGAAGGCGUUAUGCGUUGUAAACUGCUUUUUAUAUAGGAAGAAAUAGUCCUUGCGAGGAAAGUUGACGGUACUAUAUGAAUAAGCACCGGCUAACUCCGUGCCAGCAGCCGCGGUAAUACGGAGGGUGCAAGCGUUGUCCGGAUUUAUUGGGUUUAAAGGGUGCGUAGGCGGUUUAUUAAGUCAGUGGUGAAAGACGGUCGCUCAACGAUUGCAGUGCCAUUGAUACUGGUAGACUUGAGUAUGAUUGAGGUAGCUGGAAUGGAUAGUGUAGCGGUGAAAUGCAUAGAUAUUAUCCAGAACACCAAUUGCGUAGGCAAGUUACUAAGUCAUAACUGACGCUGAGGCACGAAAGUGUGGGUAUCAAACAGGAUUAGAUACCCACGUAGUCCCUGAGCGGGCUGGCAAGGCGCAU